AGCGAACGCUGGCGGCAGGCCUAAAACAUGCAAGUCGAACGCCGUAGCAAGUACGGAGUGGCAGACGGGUGAGUAACGCGUGGGAACGUACCCUUUGGUUCGGAACAACACAGGGAAACUUGUGCUAAUACCGGAUAAGCCCUUACGGGAAAGAUUUAUCGCCAAAGGAUCGGCCCGCGUCUGAUUAGCUUGUUGGUGAGGUAACGGCUCACCAAGGCUACGAUCAGUAGCUGGUCUGAGAGGAUCGAUCAGCCACACUGGGACUGAGACACGG
This 274-nucleotide ribosomal RNA is filed under the name uncultured bacterium. RNAcentral's name for it is "partial 16S ribosomal RNA". It matches the Rfam family "Bacterial small subunit ribosomal RNA", at positions 29 to 329 of the family's 1533-position model. The record is from RNAcentral.